AUUGACUCUGAACUCAGAACAGCCAAACAGCAGCAAUUAUAUUUAUUUUAAAAAAAUUAAGUGCUUACUGUUUGGCUAAUUUUGGGUU
Non-coding RNA from Pelobates cultripes (western spadefoot toad), 88 nucleotides. NCBI's taxonomy places the organism in Eukaryota, Metazoa, Chordata, Amphibia, Anura, Pelobatidae. The record is from the annotation of a GenBank genome assembly.